UACGGAAGGCAGCAGUGGGGAAUAUUGCACAAUGGGCGCAAGCCUGAUGCAGCCAUGCCGCGUGUAUGAAGAAGGCCUUCGGGUUGUAAAGUACUUUCAGUCGUGAGGAAGGUGUUAAGGUUAAUAACCUUAGCAAUUGACGUUAGCGACAGAAGAAGCACCGGCUAACUCCGUGCCAGCAGCCGCGGUAAUACGGAGGGUGCGAGCGUUAAUCGGAAUUACUGGGCGUAAAGGGCACGCAGGCGGUUAAUUAAGUUGGAUGUGAAAUCCCCGGGCUUAACCUGGGAAUGGCAUUCAAGACUGGUUUAGCUAGAGUCUUGUAGAGGGGGUAGAAUUCCAUGUGUAGCGGUGAAAUGCGUAGAGAUGUGGAGGAAUACCGGGUGGCGAAGGCGGCCCCUGGGACAAAGACUGACGCUCAUGUGCGAAAGCGUGGGGAGCAAACAGGAUUAGAUACC
Molecule: ribosomal RNA, 455 nt
Filed under: uncultured bacterium
Lineage: Bacteria
Description: bacterial SSU rRNA
Rfam family: Bacterial small subunit ribosomal RNA
Source: RNAcentral